UUAUUAAUUGGAGCAAGAUGUGUCUCAACU
This 30-nucleotide non-coding RNA is filed under the name Mus musculus (house mouse). The record is from RNAcentral. Lineage: Eukaryota; Metazoa; Chordata; Mammalia; Rodentia; Muridae.